AGCGAACGCUGGCGGCAGGCUUAACACAUGCAAGUCGAACGGGCAUCUUCGGAUGUCAGUGGCAGACGGGUGAGUAACACGUGGGAACGUACCCUUCGGUUCGGAAUAACUCAGGGAAACUUGAGCUAAUACCGGAUACGCCCUUUUGGGGAAAGGUUUACUGCCGAAGGAUCGGCCCGCGUCUGAUUAGCUUGUUGGUGGGGUAGCGGCCUACCAAGGCGACGAUCAGUAGCUGGUCUGAGAGGAUGAUCAGCCACACUGGGACUGAGACACGGCCCAGACUCCUACGGGAGGCAGCAGUGGGGAAUAUUGGACAAUGGGCGCAAGCCUGAUCCAGCCAUGCCGCGUGAGUGAUGAAGGCCUUAGGGUUGUAAAGCUCUUUUGUCCGGGACGAUAAUGACGGUACCGGAAGAAUAAGCCCCGGCUAACUUCGUG
Molecule: ribosomal RNA, 435 nt
Filed under: uncultured bacterium
Lineage: Bacteria
Description: partial 16S ribosomal RNA
Rfam family: Bacterial small subunit ribosomal RNA
Source: RNAcentral